RNAcentral lists this long non-coding RNA (3253 nucleotides) under Capsicum annuum. RNAcentral's name for it is "long non-coding RNA (CANN_LNC001747)". Lineage: Eukaryota; Viridiplantae; Streptophyta; Magnoliopsida; Solanales; Solanaceae. The record is from RNAcentral.
GAAAAUACUUGACACUAGAGCUAUGACAUAAGCAUGAGGGUUUCCUAAAGGGUUGUUCGAGGGUCCUCAUUCCUCAUUUGGAUCUGUUUAAUCAUGUGCACCCCAUCGCUUCGCUCCUACCUGUAUCAUAAAACUGAUUUCAAUCACUUCCGAUGUUGAGAUGGGACCUCACAAAGCAGUCAGCAUGGCCUUUAAAGAUGUCAAUUCAUCCAACCCUAUGUUAUGAGCUCAUUUCUUCUCCCACGUUUAACCUUACUGUAAGGGAUCCAAGAAUGAGACAUUCCUGGCUAAACCUACAUGUGAGAGGGCUAACUUUACCUCCAUGGGGGUAAUAAGGCCUCACCUAUAUUGCAAUGCAAGUUGGACUGCUCCUGGAUCCAGUACUCAGGUCUUGUUUCUCUCUUGGACGUAGCUUCAAGUUUGAUUAGGCAUCCUUUUAGCUCAAAUAAUGUGAUCAAACUUUUCGAGUUCAGUUUACCUGCGAAGGUUACCGUCGCCCAACCAUCGGGGACUGCCCGUAGUCAUGCCCUUUCCCUUUGAAACCUACCAAUAAAGGCCCCCAAAUAUUUCUGCGUCUCCUUGCCUCACCUCGAAUAUGUCAACUCAUGUCGUGCUAGAGGAAGUCGCAGAGGCUUUAGGCUGUUUUGAUGAUCUUGUUUUGCUCUUCUUUGAGAUCUUGGAUGUGAACUGAGCCAACUCUCCCCGAGUUUGGAGACUCUCUGUUUUGGGUCUUUAUAUGGGUUGCAAAAGCCUUGAGGAGGGCGACAAAAGUUCCAAAAAGCUUCUACAACUCCGUUGCACCUUCUGUCCUUGCUUCUACAUUCACCUAGCUAUGCUCUCCCUGCCUCUUCAAUGCGUCCUCAUCCGACCUACUCUUUACUCGGCGUGGCCCAUUGCCUUUCAGGACCUAUUACCAUCUAGGUCGGUGUGGCCCAAUCGAGGUGUCUACUGUCCUUUUGGGGAGUGACGUCUCCAAAGCACCUCCCUUGCAUGUCAUACCCCGAUUCUUUCUGCAAAGCAAAAACACAAAAGGAAUCCACAAGUGGGGACGAAGCUGAGAACCUACGCACUGUUUUGGCCCCACGGUGGGCACCAAAUUGUUUACAUUCUUAUUGGUAUAGUUGAAUUUAUUUGUCAGUCAAGAGCACAUAUUACGGUCUUAGCUUCGGAUUAGUAGUGAAUGUGAGAGAAAGUAUAAAGAACAUAAGAUUAAGAUUAGACAAAUCGAAUGACCAGAGGAAUAAGUGCAAAUCUUAUAACACGAGUCGAGUAGCAAAUCCUCGUAAAUACAAGUAAAGCGAGGCCGAGCUGGAAUAUAACAACAAAGAGAUUGUAAAACAACUAAAGAAAAUAGAACAAAUUCAUAAGAAUCAAGCUAAAUAUUUUAUUAUUUCUAGGGUAAGGAUUAGCAAAUUUGAUUCUUGAUAAAGGGAGGGGUAUCUAUUUUAUAGGAUAUAAGAGUUGCCUAUGGCCAAUAAGAGAUUGCCACCUGCCUUAAGGCAGUUCGAGUGCAUCCAGUUCUUCAGCAUGUACCAUACGCGACUCUAUUGAGGGCUGGCGAUGCUUUUUGAAAUCCUCACAUUACAUCCUUUCAUUUGUCUCAUUUAUGGGUUUUAUUUUGUCAAUUUAUAGCAAUUUAUGGCCCCACUUGAUUUUUUUGUGGCUUUGCCGAAGUUAUUACUUUUUUAGUCAUUUCAGUAUGUUGAUAGAGAGCUACUCGCCAGUGAAUGUGAAUAGAAGAAUAGUAGCAUGCAUCCCUGCGAAGAUCCUUUAGUUCUGAGCGAUUGCUUGUUUUAGUCCAUACAACGCUUGACGGUUUUAAAAAAUGUCACAAUUAACCUUGUCACGAGCAUAUUUGUGGCGGUUCUAAUAAACUUCCACUACACUUCUAUAAUAUGACUUUUGAAUUUGUGGAGGUUUUUAAAAUCAAUUUGUGAUGAUUUAGAACCUUCACAAUAUGAUCUCAAUAUUUUAAAAAAUAGACUUGUGUGAAUUUAUAAUUGUCAUGAUAUGAAAUCAAUAUUUGCAUACUUUAAUUUAUGAAGGCUUACAACUGCCACAGAGUAUCAUUUUUUUAAAAUAAGAAAGAUGUGAUAUUUGAUUUACUUCAAGUUUUUAAAAUAUUAGGAAUCAAUAAUUUUACUAAAUAAUACAUUAAAUAUAUAUCAAAUUUCAUCAGAUUAAGUCAUAUUAAUAAGCUUCACAAGUCUAAAUUCAUGUUAAAUUGAAGUAAUACAAACUUGUGUAUAAUAACUUGAAUAUUACAAUUUAAAUCCUUAAGAAUCUACAUAGUUCCACAACAAAUAAACAUUAAAAAUCUAAGCAUUUUCUUAGUGAUUUGAAUUGUAAACUUGUAGUCACUCAGUCUUUUCUUUAUAGUGAAGUGAACUCAACAUCUGCAUCUGACUGAAACAAUGAAAAUUUUAUAAAUGAUUAGAUAAACAUAUAUUGAUGUGCAUCUUGAUAAAAAAAAAGUACAACAUUCAUUUCAAACACAAGUUCAUAUAUAUUUGACAAAUACAUAUAUAAAAGAUUAUAGAUGAAAGAAAAUUACUUUAACAGUGAUCAAACAUUAAAGAGCGAUUGAGAAAUUGUAUAAUGUUCACAAAAAAUUAUAGGAAAUUGCAAGAUUCUACUAAAAUAGCAAAUAUCAACUGGUUGAUAACAUUAUGAUAAGAACAUAUAAAUAUUUAAAAAGAUAUUAAAAAGAAAACAUAAACAUUCCUUAAGAUUACGUUUUCCAAAAUUAUAUAACGAUGCUCACAUUAUUUUAGCACAUUGAUACAAGUAUUAAACAUAAACAUUCCUUAAGCUUACGUUUUCCAAAAUUAUACAAUGAUGCUCAUUUUUUUUAGUAUAUUGAUUCAAGUAUUUUUCACUUCUUCUAAUUUAUAAAUUGGACUCUCCUUAUUUUCAAGUUAUACCAAUAUCGAACACAAUCUAUUUUUUAAAAAUAUCCUUUAAUUUGUCGUAGUUAAAUCAAUCAAAAUUACAUGAUACUUAACUAAACAAUAAGAAAAUUGAAGCAUACCUAAACUCGAUUAAUGGUCGAGUAUGAAUGAUUUCAUGAUGUUGUAAGAAUUCAAAAAAAUCCUAAAAUAUGUAAAAGUACAAUGAAUUAAGUUUACCAACUUACAAAGCAUGCCUACGAAUCAAAUAAUAAAAAGAAAAAAUAUAAAUUUUAAAUUCUAGCGUGAAUCCUCAAAUUCAAGUGACAAAAAAUUACCUUUAUAUUAAGAAAACUAUUUAACAU